UCUUUGACGCAAGUUGUGCCCGAGGCCUUGUGGUCGAGGGCACGCCUGCUUGGGCGUCAUGGCAUCGUCGCUUUUGCUCCAUGCUUUGUCGGCGUUGAACGCGGAAGUUGGCCCCGUGUGCCCUCGCGGUUGGCCUAAAUCCAAGAUAAGGACGUCAGGAGCGUCUUGACAUGAGGUGGUUAAUUCAACUCUCGUAAUAUCGUCAGACCUUCCGGUCCAUUUCUCUUGAUGACCCAAAAUCCUCACCGCGACCCCAGGUCAAGCGGGAUCACCCGCUGAGUUUAACCAUAUCAUUAAGCGGAGGAAAACUCACGCGAGACCACCCACCGAUUUAAUUCAUAUAAAUAAACAAAAAAAAAAA
RNAcentral lists this ribosomal RNA (361 nucleotides) under Curcuma longa (turmeric). Its description in RNAcentral is "eukaryotic LSU rRNA". The record is from RNAcentral. Lineage: Eukaryota; Viridiplantae; Streptophyta; Magnoliopsida; Zingiberales; Zingiberaceae.